This 431-nucleotide ribosomal RNA is filed under the name uncultured bacterium. RNAcentral's name for it is "partial 16S ribosomal RNA". It matches the Rfam family "Bacterial small subunit ribosomal RNA", at positions 29 to 507 of the family's 1533-position model. The record is from RNAcentral.
AACGAACGCUGGCGGCAGGCCUAACACAUGCAAGUCGAGCGCCCCGCAAGGGGAGCGGCGGACGGGUGAGUAGCGCGUGGGAAUAUGCCCUUUGCUACGGAAUAGUCUCGGGGAACUGGGGGUAAUACCGUAUACGCCCUUUGGGGGAAAGGUUUAUCGGCGAAGGAUUAGCCCGCGUUGGAUUAGGUAGUUGGUGGGGUAAUGGCCUACCAAGCCGACGAUCCAUAGCUGGUUUGAGAGGAUGAUCAGCCACACUGGGACUGAGACACGGCCCAGACUCCUACGGGAGGCAGCAGUGGGGAAUCUUAGACAAUGGGGGCAACCCUGAUCUAGCCAUGCCGCGUGAGUGAUGAAGGCCUUAGGGUUGUAAAGCUCUUUCAGCUGGGAAGAUAAUGACGGUACCAGCAGAAGAAGCCCCGGCUAACUCCGUG